GACGAACGCUGGCGGCGGGCUUAACACAUGCAAGUCGAACGGAAAGGCCCUGCGUUUGUGGGGUGCUCGAGUGGCGAACGGGGGAGUAACACGUGAGUAACCUGCCCUUGACUUUGGGAUAACUUCAGGAAACUGGGGCUAAUACCGGAUAGGAGCUCCUGCUGCAUGGUGGGGGGGGGAAAGUUUCGGCGGGUGGGGAUGGACGCGCGGCUUAUCAGCUUGUUAGUGGGGGAGUGGCUUACCAAGGCUUUGACGGGUAGCCGGCCUGGGAGGGUGACCGGCCACAUUGGGCCUGCGAUACGGCCCAGACUCCUACGGGAGGCAGCAGUGGGGAAUAUUGCCCAAUGGGCGGAAGCCUGAUGCAGCAACGCCGCGUGCGGGAUGCCGGCCUUCUGGUUGUAAACCGCUUUCGCCUGUGACGAAGCGUGAGUGACGGUAAUGGGUAAAGAAGCACCGGCUAACUACGUG
This 468-nucleotide ribosomal RNA is filed under the name uncultured bacterium. RNAcentral's name for it is "partial 16S ribosomal RNA". It matches the Rfam family "Bacterial small subunit ribosomal RNA", at positions 28 to 507 of the family's 1533-position model. The record is from RNAcentral.